UACGUAGGGGGCGAGCGUUGUCCGGAGUUACUGGGCGUAAAGCGCACGUAGGCGGUCUGGUAAGUUUGGAGUGACAGUUGGUGGCUUAACUGCCAAAGUGCUUCGAAAACUGACAGACUUGAGGGCUUCAGAGGGACGCGGAAUUCCGGGUGGAGUGGUGAAAUGCGUAGAGAUCCGGAGGAACACCAAAGGCGAAGGCAGUGUCCUGGGGAGUACCUGACGCUCAGGUGCGAAAGCCAGGGGAGCGAACGGG
This 253-nucleotide ribosomal RNA is filed under the name uncultured bacterium. RNAcentral's name for it is "partial 16S ribosomal RNA". It matches the Rfam family "Bacterial small subunit ribosomal RNA", at positions 524 to 776 of the family's 1533-position model. The record is from RNAcentral.